RNAcentral lists this ribosomal RNA (217 nucleotides) under uncultured bacterium. RNAcentral describes it as "partial 16S ribosomal RNA". It matches the Rfam family "Bacterial small subunit ribosomal RNA", at positions 958 to 1173 of the family's 1533-position model. The record is from RNAcentral.
AACGCGAAGAACCUUACCUGGGCUCGAAAUGUACAGGACAGCGGUAGAAAUACCGUCUCCCAGCAAUGGGUCUGUAUAUAGGUGCUGCAUGGCUGUCGUCAGCUCGUGUCGUGAGAUGUUGGGUUAAGUCCCGCAACGAGCGCAACCCUUAUCUCCAGUUGCUACCAUUUAGUUGAGCACUCUGGCGAAACCGCCUCGGGAGGUAACGGGAGGAGGG